GUCCUUUUGUAUUUUAUUAGAAGGUCUGUUCUGCCCCCUGAUUUUUUAAAUGGCCGCAGUAUAUUAACUGUGCAAAGGUAGCAUAAUCAUUAGUUUUUUAAUUGGAGACUUGUAUGAAUGAUUGGACGAGGCACAAGCUGUUUCAAAGAUAAUAAUAGAAUUUUAUUUUUUAGUUAAAAAGCUAAAAUUUUUUUAAAAGACGAGAAGACCCUAUAGAUCUUUAUUAUUACUCUAUUAAUAUGUUUAGAAGAAUUUUUAGAUGUUAAUAUAUUUAAUAAUUUUGUUGGGGUGACAUUGAAAUUUAUUUAACUUUUGAUUAAAUAAUACAUUAAUAUAUGAAUUUAUGAUCCAUUAUUAUUGAUUAAAAAUUUAAGUUACCUUAGGGAUAACAGCGUAAUUAUUUUGGAGAGUUCUUAUCGAUAAAAUAGUUUGCGACCUCGAUGUUGGAUUAAGGUUAAUUCUAGGCGCAGCCGUUUAGUUUAUUAAGUCUGUUCGACUUUUAAUUCCUU
Molecule: ribosomal RNA, 509 nt
Filed under: Medetera belgica
Lineage: Eukaryota; Metazoa; Arthropoda; Insecta; Diptera; Dolichopodidae
Description: partial 16S ribosomal RNA
Rfam family: Bacterial large subunit ribosomal RNA
Source: RNAcentral